GCAAACUUGGUCAUUUAGAGGAAGUAAAAGUCGUAACAAGGUUUCCGUAGGUGAACCUGCGGAAGGAUCAUUAACGUACCUCUGACGGCGAGGUCGCGCCCCGCUCCGGCCCCCAGCGGCCGUGCAGCGGGUGCGUCCGAGCCGCUCAACCUUUGCAAACCCACCGUGCACCUUUGUCGGCGGAGGGCCCCAGCGCCCCGAGCCGGAUCACAAACCACAAGUUCAAAAGAAUGACCAGCGGACAGAGCGCCGCCUAAAACUAAUAAACAACUUUCAACAACGGAUCUCUUGGCUCUCGCAUCGAUGAAGAACGCAGC
RNAcentral lists this unclassified non-coding RNA (317 nucleotides) under uncultured fungus. RNAcentral's name for it is "partial contains small subunit ribosomal RNA, internal transcribed spacer 1, and 5.8S ribosomal RNA". The stretch from base 1 to 73 matches the Rfam family "Eukaryotic small subunit ribosomal RNA", at positions 1759 to 1831 of the family's 1831-position model. Lineage: Eukaryota; Fungi. The record is from RNAcentral.